GAGUAUGGGAUCUGUAGUAAACGUGCUUGGAGAACUCCUAUCCUGGAAAAAAUAUCUGAUCAUUCUGGAAUGAAUUGAAAAUACACAAAUGAAGGCCAGGAGAAAAGGCUCAGCUGGCAUUACUGAAAGCUACCCCUAUUAGCUUAUCUUCCUGCAAAAAGAUAUGCAUCUUCAUCAUCAAGACUGGAGCAUAUAACCAAAGGUAUAUGACAGGUUGUCUUUAUCUUGGUUCAAGUAUCUAACCAGAGAUGAAGACCUCAAGGAAGGCUGUGGUCUGGUCUAUUGAAAGAGCACAAGGACAAAUUCAGUGAAGGUUUCCACAAAUAAAUGAGGAUUACUUCUUUUAAGGACUCCACAGCACUAGAAUCAGCAAAUACAG
This is a long non-coding RNA of Numida meleagris (helmeted guineafowl), 379 nucleotides long. RefSeq lists it as uncharacterized. Lineage: Eukaryota; Metazoa; Chordata; Aves; Galliformes; Numididae. The record is from RefSeq and is a predicted model, not a curated record. The transcript has 3 exons.